UGUAACGAAUUUUGCCUGAUGAGUAUUUUGUACCUUCCACCCUGUAACGGCAGUGGUUUCGCGAAUAAUAUUUCUUAUGUCACAAGUGUCGAAGCUUCGUUUCGCUGCUUCCAUAGAUGGUAAAUUUCAUUGUUUACUUGAUUGAAAGUGUGUAUUUCAUCUGAUGUGUUUUUUUCUAAAGCGGAUAUAGAAUUAAUGUAAUGAUGUGUACUUUCAGAAUACCAAGAUUUCCCCGACUUCUCUCCAGAGCUCUCAGCAUCAAGGCGUGAGACCAUGCCCCUCAAUAUCUCUCCACCAAUACAAGAGCCAGCAUCCCAGGGGGCACAGGAGCCAUUGCCAACAGCACCAACUACACAGAGAACCCCAAGAGCCAGGACCAGGACCCGGAAAGUGCUCACUCCAUGUUAUAUGAAGAGGCUUCAGCACUACUGCGACGAGAACUCCCACCUCCAUCAAAUUGUUGCAAGACUUAAAAAGUCCAAGAAACCAAUUGCAUCUCAUGCGCAGCUUCUUCUUGAAGCAGGCAGGUACCUAAAGAAGGAUUUUUUUGAAAUUCUAAGAGAGCAAAUGCAUCUGCAACCACUGAAAAAACAUGGGAGACGAUGGCCGAUGCAACUUAGACAGUUUGCCCUCAGUCUUUACUUUACAAGCCCUGAGGCAUAUAAAUAUCUAUCAAAGGUACCAAGUAGGGGUGUGCGAAUAGUGAAAUUUCAUCUCGAAUCGAAUAGUGCCGCAUAGUGGCCGAAAAUAUCGAAUAGUAUCGAAGCGUGCACUGUCAGUAACGGCAAGAGAAAGGAAAAAUCAAGAAAGCUACGGCGUGGUGACAGGUUUGUUACGUGCUUGUUCGGGAGUAUUUUUUUUUUUUUCAGGUUUUAUGGGCGCGCAACCAUGUUGAUAGAAGAGCUGCCAUUCCAGUUAACCGUGCCACUCUUAACCUCUUGGGCAACAGAAGGUGGUGGUACGGUAGCUAGUUUUUUUUUUUUUGUAUAAUUGUACAAUAUGGCUCAUCUGACAACGGUCACGUUAUUGUGCUCCAUGGCCAUGCUCUGGGCCCAAAAAUCUUCAGGCGCCCGUUCACAGCAGCGUUUUGUUUGAGCACCGGAACGAUGGGAGUUUCUGAACGAGUGGUGCAGUACGGCAGUGGCGAAUGUGCAGCGUGAUCAAAUUUUCACAUGUGAAGCCAAUCCUGAAGGGUUUCGCACGCCAAAUUCGGGACGUUCUACAGCACUUGUGGCAUACGCGACCGAACUAUUCAAAAGUCUGUACCUUCGUUUCGGAAGUGAAGUUGAGAAGGGCUUGCCACUUUUCUUGUCUUUCUCUUUUUUUUUUUUUCGUGCUGAAAUAACAUAACCUCCUCUAAGGUAAACACGUGAUCAUUUUCGAACCAGGAAAUUGGUGAAAGUUUUAACGAAGGCCUAUUGUAACGACGUUAGCGUUAGUUUUAGCCACCCUACCUUCACCAAGUUGCACCAUUGGCCUUUGUCGCGUUUUAGAUAUUCGUACUGUCGAAUUAUUCGAAAGUUUGAAUACUAGCUAUUCGAAAGUCGAAUUGAAUUAUUCGAUUAGUUAGUAUUCGAUUCGAAUUCGAAACUCGAAUAUUCGCACACCCCUAGUACUGAGCCUUCCCACAGUGAAGUCCCGAAGGACGUGGUUGUCGGCCGUAAAUAUAAAGACAGGAGUUUUGCCUCAGAUUCUCGAGUUAUUCAAAGAAAAGGCAAGAAAAAAUAUUGGGAAAUUCAAGACAGAGCUUGCUGCCUAAUUUUUGACAAAAUUUCAUUAAGAAAAAAUCUGCAGUAUGACCCUAAGGAAGACAUCAUACAUGGAUAUGUUGAUAAUGCCAGAGAAACAAUGCCAGAGAACAAAUGGCACAGCGCACACUGCAGCACUUGUGGUCUCUGGGACAGCGAAGAAAUGGAUACAGCCAGUAGCCUUUUUGAGAAGAGAGGGGACAGUUCGCGCAGGGCCCCUUUUAAUGUCAUUGAAAAAGCUAAUCAUUGAGCUAAAGGCAUGUGGCCUCUUCGUCAAAGCAUUGGUUUGUGACCAGGGUAGCAGCAAUUGCGUUAUUGCAAGGACACUGGGUGUGAGCCCUGACAGGCCUUUCUUUAUUGCUGAUAAAUAGAAGAUUUCCUUCAUUUUUGACGUCCCCCACCUGUUGAAAUGUAUGAGGAAUAAUCUGAGGAAGCAUGAUAUUCCUAUUGGAGAUAAGGUUGCUUCCUGGGGGCAUAUUAAGAUUUGUAUGAAUCAACAUAAUCACCUGAAACUAAAAUGCCUACCUAAACUCACUGAGGGCACAUCUAUGAAAGUGCAUUUGGUAACAUGAAAGUAAAGUGGGUGCUCAGCAACAGUGUCUAUCUAGCAAUAGAAGCAUUCGUAGCAUUUAAUGUUCUCCACCAGAAGCCACAAGCACAGCUGAGUUUGUUGUGAAAAUAGAUCAGUUUGAUUCAUUAAACAGUUCUUGUGUAAAGAUAGCCGAGAGAAAAAUGAGGUAUACAAUUGAUACUUCUACAGGGUACAUUGAAUUCUUGCAUUCUUGGAUUGCAUGGAUUAAAUCUUGGAUAUUCAAAGAACCUAGGCAACCAAGAACCAUUUAGGGCUGGCAGGUGACAAUUAAAGCGGUUUGUAUGCUGUGGGCAGAUCUGCAGGAAUCCUAUAACUUCAAGUUUUUGCCCGCUCGUCGUCUGAAUCAGGAUCCCUUGGAGAACUUGUUUGGGAUCAUUCGGCAGCAGCACAGCUGUAACGAGACUGCAAACACAUUUCAGUUCACUGCCGGUCUCAGGCAUAUCAUUGUCGGGAAGCUCUUCAAGCUUUCAGAUGGCAGCAACUGCCAAGCAGAUAAGGCUGUUCUUCUAACUGAGCUAAAGAAAUUAAGACUCGAUCAAGAAAGUCCUACUGUGUCCGACACCUUCAGCUCAAACCUUUCAGACACCGUAAAACCAGCAGAUGUACUUGAAUCAAACAUAGUUUGUUACGUGUCAGGAUACCUAGUACAAGCAUUUCUGAAAAAAGCACCGUGCUUACAGUGCAAGGAUCUCUUGAAAGACAAAAGCCAAGAUUUGUCUUCACCAAACCAAAUCUCCAUGAUGUUCAAAGCAGUGGAGAUGCAGGACAAGACUCUAGGUAAUUUAACAGUGCCCACAGAAGCAGCUUUCAAUUUUGUCAGAAAAUUGGAAGAAGCAUUCUCUGUCAAAUAGGUGCUGUAGCACAC
Molecule: long non-coding RNA, 3205 nt
Organism: Rhipicephalus sanguineus (brown dog tick)
Lineage: Eukaryota; Metazoa; Arthropoda; Arachnida; Ixodida; Ixodidae
Exons: 3
Source: RefSeq, a predicted model, not a curated record